This 327-nucleotide long non-coding RNA is filed under the name Cricetulus griseus (Chinese hamster). RNAcentral's name for it is "lncRNA (ENSCGRG00015031722.1)". Lineage: Eukaryota; Metazoa; Chordata; Mammalia; Rodentia; Cricetidae. The record is from RNAcentral.
CACACUGAGACCAGAUGGUACCUCUUAUUCAAGAUGGACCUCAAGGAACCGAAGCUGCUCCCAGGCAAAGUGCAAGUUUCAACCCAAGCAGCCUGUGCAGAGCUGGCCCUGUGAUCCCAGCUUCCUUUGACUUCACAUCAUUCUUACAGCACUUUGAUCAUCUCUGUCAUGUUUCUUCAUUUUGGACAUGGGUGGGGGGAGCCCCAUCUCUAUCCUGCAAGAACUCUGCGUCUUCAACAGACCCAAAAAUGGCUUGAAGGAGUUGGGCUGUGUGGGCCAGGAGAGUAGGCAAGGCCCACUGUGCCUCAGGCACAUUUCAAAUUGGAG